GAAAUGCGAUAAUUAAUGUGAAUUGCAGAAUUCAGUGAAUCAUCGAGUCUUUGAACGCACAUUGCGCCCCCUGGUAUUCCGGGGGGCAUGCCUGUCCGAGCGUCAUUGCUGCCCUCAAGCACGGCUUGUGUGUUGGGCUUCCGUCCCUGGCAACGGGGACGGGCCCAAAAGGCAGUGGCGGCACCAUGUCUGGUCCUCGAGCGUAUGGGGCUUUGUCACCCGCUCCCGUAGGUCCAGCUGGCAGCUAGCCUCGCAACCAAUCUUUUUAACCAGGUUGACCUCGGAUCAGGUAGGGAUACCCGCUGAACUGAAG
This 313-nucleotide unclassified non-coding RNA is filed under the name plant metagenome. Its description in RNAcentral is "partial contains 5.8S ribosomal RNA, internal transcribed spacer 2, and large subunit ribosomal RNA". The stretch from base 1 to 105 matches the Rfam family "5.8S ribosomal RNA", at positions 50 to 154 of the family's 154-position model. The record is from RNAcentral.